UGGGGAAUAUUGCACAAUGGGCGCCAGCCUGAUGCAGCCAUGCCGCGUGUAUGAAGAAGGCCUUCGGGUUGUAAAGUACUUUCAGCGAGGAGGAAGGCGUUGUGGUUAAUAACCGCAACGAUUGACGUUACUCGCAGAAGAAGCACCGGCUAACUCCGUGCCAGCAGCCGCGGUAAUACGGAGGGUGCAAGCGUUAAUCGGAAUUACUGGGCGUAAAGCGCACGCAGGCGGUCUGUCAAGUCGGAUGUGAAAUCCCCGGGCUCAACCUGGGAACUGCAUCCGAAACUGGCAGGCUAGAGUCUUGUAGAGGGGGGUAGAAUUCCAGGUGUAGCGGUGAAAUGCGUAGAGAUCUGGAGGAAUACCGGUGGCGAAGGCGGCCCCCUGGACAAAGACUGACGCUCAGGUGCGAAAGCGUGGGGAGCAAACA
RNAcentral lists this ribosomal RNA (427 nucleotides) under uncultured bacterium. RNAcentral describes it as "partial 16S ribosomal RNA". It matches the Rfam family "Bacterial small subunit ribosomal RNA", at positions 355 to 774 of the family's 1533-position model. The record is from RNAcentral.